CAAUAGCGUAUAUUAAAGUUGUUGCAGUUAAAAAGCUCGUAGUUGGAUCUCUGGUAGGAGCGACCGUGCCGAACUUGAUUGUUCGAGUAUUGUGUUGUCUUCAGCCAUCCUCGUGGAGAACUUUUCUAACAUUAACUUGUUGGGAUUGGGACCCGCGUCGUUUACUGUGAAAAAAUUAGAGUGUUUAAAGCAGGCAUUAGCUUGAAUACAUUAGCAUGGAAUAAUAAGAUAGGACUUUGGUACUAUUUUGUUGGUUUGCAUACCAAAUUAAUGAUCAACAGGAACAGUUUGAGGAUAUUCGUAUGAACAUGUCAGAGGUGAAAUUCUUGGAUUUUGAUCAGACGAACUACUGCGAAAGCAUUUAUCAAGGAUGUUUUCAUUAA
This 383-nucleotide ribosomal RNA is filed under the name uncultured eukaryote. RNAcentral's name for it is "partial 18S ribosomal RNA". It matches the Rfam family "Eukaryotic small subunit ribosomal RNA", at positions 592 to 976 of the family's 1831-position model. The record is from RNAcentral.